UUGAACGCUGGCGGCAGGCCUAACACAUGCAAGUCGAGCGGUAGAGAGGUGCUUGCAUCUCUUGAGAGCGGCGGACGGGUGAGUAAUGCCUAGGAAUCUGCCUGGUAGUGGGGGACAACGUUUCGAAAGGAACGCUAAUACCGCAUACGUCCUACGGGAGAAAGCAGGGGACCUUCGGGCCUUGCGCUAUCAGAUGAGCCUAGGUCGGAUUAGCUAGUAGGUGAGGUAAUGGCUCACCUAGGCGACGAUCCGUAACUGGUCUGAGAGGAUGAUCAGUCACACUGGAACUGAGACACGGUCCAGACUCCUACGGGAGGCAGCAGUGGGGAAUAUUGGACAAUGGGCGAAAGCCUGAUCCAGCCAUGCCGCGUGUGUGAAGAAGGUCUUCGGAUUGUAAAGCACUUUAAGUUGGGAGGAAGGGCAGUAAGUUAAUACCUUGCUGUUUUGACGUUACCAACAGAAUAAGCACCGGCUAACUUCGUG
This 483-nucleotide ribosomal RNA is filed under the name uncultured bacterium. Its description in RNAcentral is "bacterial SSU rRNA". It matches the Rfam family "Bacterial small subunit ribosomal RNA", at positions 30 to 507 of the family's 1533-position model. The record is from RNAcentral.